AAUUUCCAGCAAGAGAAAUUACAGAAAUCCACUGAAACGAUAUUAAAAUCGGCAUUUUUAGUAUGUAGAUUGGAGAGAAUUUCGAACUCAUAUUAUGCGAAUUGACGUGAGUACGCCCAGUGUAGGUACAGGGUGGUUUAAAUGUCUCGCUUCAAUGGAAAAUUUUUCAAUGAAAAUAAUUCGUAGGUUUCCAUUUGUUAUCGAAAUUUUAUCUCUGGAAUUGAACACUUGAAGAAUUUUGUCAUCAGUUUUGAUAAUGAUUAAUAAAAAUCUCAAUUCCAAACCAUCCUUGCUCUUGGAGAUUUAGGGGCUUUUCCCAUUUGCAAAAGUCUCCUUUGUAGCGAUGCAUUUAAACCAUCCCAGUAUAAAACAAGUGUCUUGUUCCUUACGAGCCGGACAUAAAGGAUGUGACCGAUUUUCAGCUAAUUUUUGCCCCAAACCCCCUCGUGUGACCUAGGUAUGCGACGUGCUAUAAUUAAAAGAGCAAGCCUUAUCCCUACCUCCACUCAAAUCGAGCACAUCCUUUUUGCUAUGUCCCCUCAUUUUUGUAACAAAGAGAUAGCUCGAUCACCUUGAAAGCGAAACAAUUGAUCCAUUCUACACUGCACAGACAGCUUACGUGGUCCUGCAUAAAGCAGGUCUGCGAGAAAUCUUAUUAAUCCCACCUCAUCCAAUAUUAAUCACAAGUGGUGUAUAAAUUUAGCCAAAAUUUAUCACAUCCUUAACACACGGUCCUGCUUGAAUGAAUAAGAUGAUCAUGAUUAUCAUGCACUUGACGAAAUAUCCUUUAACACACUGUACACAUCUUCAUUCAAUACACCUUUCACUCAACAGGUUAUUAUUUUUUAAGAAUAUAAUUAUUGAUACAAUUAUUAAAAAAUCUUAAAAAUGUGACCCCGUUAUUAAUUUCGCUGUGGUAAAUUUCACCGAUUUAAAGCCAAUUAACAUUGUUUCGAGUGAGAAUUACAUACUUAAUUCCUAUAAGAUUUCAUGUAAAGUAAAGUGCACUCCAGUUGUUUCAUUUCGAACAACGUUUAAUUAGCUAAAUGGUUUGUCUUUGGGCUAAUUCGUACAAAUGGAAAUUUGAAAUAUUUAACUCUCCUUAUCAACUUACAUACAUGGCUGAAAUUGAAACGGACACCUGGUUUAAAAACCUUAUCAAGGAUAUUACUCCAUCAUCGCCAACAUCAAAGCCGUAAAUUUACGUAUAUGUUUAUUAGUGACCUUGACGACAAAUUUUUCUCUGAUUUCCUCCUGAAUUCAGCCCAUCAUAUUUUCAUCACCACUUCUCUCAUUUCGAAUUGGAGGGUCGUCCCAACCAUACUACGUAAUGGAUCCUGUAGAAUGGAAGCUGCAAAAAAUGGAAACGGCGAAAUUACAUAUCUUGUUCCGGUCAAUUACUUAAGCUGCCUUCCCUUAAUAACUCUUCGUUUAACUGUACGUAAAUAUGUAUAGUAGCUAACAAUGGAGGUCUCCCAACGUGUGCUCACCGAUUUUUACCAAACUGGUGCGAAUCGAUCACGAAUAUAAUUAAUAUGAAAUUUGAACAAAGCGGGUAGUUCUGCUGGUCCCAGGGCGCUCCAUCGCUCUUGCCCCUCCAUCAUGACGAUGUCGGUGCCAUGCAGAUAACCGAAUAGCGAAUUGGCAGACACAUAUUGCCCUUUGCACGUUUGAUGUUAAUUAAAUUGGCGAUCCACUUUGGCCAAAAUCUGCGUACAUACAUAGGCAAACCUCCAUUGUAAAUUUGAGUAGUCUUAUUGAGUAUAUAUUUUAAUUAAGACCUUAACCGUACGGUCCACUCUGGAGAUAGGAAUGCUGUACUUUUUUGUGGAAAUGUACAGUUUUUCCAGCACGAUCGGUUUUAGAAAGAAAGUUCAUUUUACAAAUUUUUUGAACAUAGAGACACAAGUUGAACCAACCAGAUACACUUUUUUCUGAGGUAGUGUAGAACCAAGACUGCAUAUAUUGGUACUGUUAUGUUAACUUGAAACUCUGGAUAAAUAGCUUAAAUGUAGUCGCACAAAAGUUUGGAUGCUUGCUCCACAGAUCGGACAAGAUAACGACUCUGGUCUUCAAUUCCAGUUCUGCGUAAUGAUAUCAAUUUUAGAGUUAAAAGAUGGAUCGAAGUAUCCAGUCUAGAAAGGCUUAUAGCAGAUUCUUAUAAUAGCUGAGGUAGUCUCUCUUUGGAAGGAGGUAGCUGAAAAGAUGACCACCAUUGUAUUGUAGUCAUUGUUUUUUGAAUAUUCAAUGUCAAAAUUCCCAGUUUCCCAACUUUCAAUGGCAUGGAGCCAAUGCCAAUGGAAGUUAGCUUAAGCUUUGUCACGUGCCUGGUCGAACGUAAUGUCGCAUGGAAAACUAUACCCAGGGCCAGAUUCUUGCGAUUCUUGCUUGGUGAUUGACGGCGCAACGUCGUCUUCCGAUAGCUAUUCUAGAUUGCCCACGCACACAUAGAUUGAAGGCAGGUUGAAAUGAAAUGACAGGUUGAAAUGUUGCUUGCUGAGUUACUUUGUAAUAACUGAACUUUAUUUAACGAAAUUUUCCUUUAUAUACAAGUUUUCAAGGUUAAACAUUAGUUUCCAACAAUCUGGAAUUAUCUACAAACAUCUUAAUUAUGAUGCAAUAUUAAUCUAGAAUAAUCUACGUAAAUCUAGGUGUAUUGUUUAUUAUGCUGAAGUUGACCACAACAUGUAAGCACAUGUGCAAAUUAAGCGAAAACCGCAUACACGCAAGUGUGAUGCUUAGUUUGGAUGGCUAAAGUUUAUUGAGUCCAUCCAUAUAAAUAUGUACAGUAAGUUCCCCUACACAUUUAUUCUUUCGGACCUGCACAUCUCGGAGAAACUUCUUUGAAGCAUCAUAAUUCUAAGGCAUUAACAUACCAAAAUAGGCGUAUAUGGUAAUCACAACAAUGACACAGGUAUUGUCAAAAGAACACAUCUUUCCCCUUUUACUAAAACCACCCAAUUUUGGUAGUCUCUAAAAUCAGCUAGAAGCCUAUCUGCAUUAGAAUUCCAAAACAUAUUCCUUGUGUUUCUAUUGUGCUGUAUAUAAUUUUGUUGUAUAGGGUUCACAAAAUAUAUUCACAAAUAUACAUGAUAGACGGCAUACAGCCAGUGAGUAUUGCUCACUCGAGAUGAGUUUCAAGGGUUAGACACGGCUAAACAAGUACAAACAUGUGAGGUUAGGAAUGUUCUCCUCAUUAAUCGUCAUUUUUAGUGGUACACUGGUUGAGUAGAUUGUCAUAAUCUCGUCCAUUAAAUGUUCACUAGACUCGAGGAAUUUUGUAUGAAAUCAAAAUCUCGGGUAUACCUUGGCCUACGUAUUUGUUCACCUUUCCAUAUUCAUCGAUAAAUAAAUAUGUACAUCUGAACUUCAAUGUUUGUAUGCAAUGCAGAAUUUGGAUCAGCUUAGGCAAUCUUUCACUGCACAUAACAUCGACAAGAAAUACAAAAUUAUGAAUUACUUGUCAUGAAUUACUUGUCAAAGAGGUGAACACGACUUGAUGUUAUUAGUUAAAAAGAAUACAAAAAACUUGAAAUUAAAAUGUAUAAGCAUAUGUUACAUAUUUAUAUGCAUGUAUGUAGUACGGUAUCGUAUAUCUUCUUCCCAUCUUUCAAGUUUUCCCACAUAAGAUGAAAUUGGCUUUUAAAUUCUGCCAAACUACCUUUCGAAACCUUAAAAUUAUGCUUAAACUAGCCUAUAAGCCCGUCUAAAGACGGUCCACAUCAAGUUUUAAAUCAACACAGCAAAAU
Long non-coding RNA from Folsomia candida, 3749 nucleotides. RefSeq lists it as uncharacterized. The record is from RefSeq and is a predicted model, not a curated record. NCBI's taxonomy places the organism in Eukaryota, Metazoa, Arthropoda, Collembola, Entomobryomorpha, Isotomidae. The transcript has 4 exons.